This 1473-nucleotide ribosomal RNA is filed under the name human gut metagenome. RNAcentral's name for it is "bacterial LSU rRNA". It matches the Rfam family "Bacterial large subunit ribosomal RNA", at positions 520 to 1977 of the family's 2925-position model. The record is from RNAcentral.
AGAACCCCGGCGAGGGGAGUGAAAAAGAACCUGAAACCGUGUACGUACAAGCAGUAGGAGCCCACUAGUUGGGUGACUGCGUACCUUUUGUAUAAUGGGUCAGCGACUUAUAUUCUGUAGCAAGGUUAACCGUAUAGGGGAGCCGCAGGGAAACCGAGUCUUAACUGGGCGUUAAGUUGCAGGGUAUAGACCCGAAACCCGGUGAUCUAGCCAUGGGCAGGUUGAAGGUUGGGUAACACUAACUGGAGGACCGAACCGACUAAUGUUGAAAAAUUAGCGGAUGACUUGUGGCUGGGGGUGAAAGGCCAAUCAAACCGGGAGAUAGCUGGUUCUCCCCGAAAGCUAUUUAGGUAGCGCCUCGUGAACUCAUCUUCGGGGGUAGAGCACUGUUUCGGCUAGGGGGUCAUCCCGACUUACCAACCCGAUGCAAACUACGAAUACCGAAGAAUGUUAUCACGGGAGACACACGGCGGGUGCUAACGUCCGUCGUGAAGAGGGAAACAACCCAGACCGCCAGCUAAGGUCCCAAAGUCAUGGUUAAGUGGGAAACGAUGUGGGAAGGCACAGACAGCCAGGAUGUUGGCUUAGAAGCAGCCAUCAUUUAAAGAAAGCGUAAUAGCUCACUGGUCGAGUCGGCCUGCGCGGAAGAUGUAACGGGGCUAAACCAUGCACCGAAGCUGCGGCAGCGACACUAUGUGUUGUUGGGUAGGGGAGCGUUCUGUAAGCCGUUGAAGGUGGCCUGUGAGGGUUGCUGGAGGUAUCAGAAGUGCGAAUGCUGACAUAAGUAACGAUAAAGCGGGUGAAAAGCCCGCUCGCCGGAAGACCAAGGGUUCCUGUCCAACGUUAAUCGGGGCAGGGUGAGUCGACCCCUAAGGCGAGGCCGAAAGGCGUAGUCGAUGGGAAACAGGUUAAUAUUCCUGUACUUGGUGUUACUGCGAAGGGGGGACGGAGAAGGCUAUGUUAGCCGGGCGACGGUUGUCCCGGUUUAAGCAUGUAGGCGGAGGUUCCAGGUAAAUCCGGUACCUUUUAACGCUGAGGUGUGAUGACGAGGCACUACGGUGCUGAAGUAACAAAUGCCCUGCUUCCAGGAAAAGCCUCUAAGCAUCAGGUAACAUCAAAUCGUACCCCAAACCGACACAGGUGGUCAGGUAGAGAAUACCAAGGCGCUUGAGAGAACUCGGGUGAAGGAACUAGGCAAAAUGGUGCCGUAACUUCGGGAGAAGGCACGCUGAUAUGUAGGUGAAGCCCCUGCGGGUGGAGCUGAAAUCAGUCGAAGAUACCAGCUGGCUGCAACUGUUUAUUAAAAACACAGCACUGUGCAAACACGAAAGUGGACGUAUACGGUGUGACGCCUGCCCGGUGCCGGAAGGUUAAUUGAUGGGGUUAUCCGUAAGGAGAAGCUCUUGAUCGAAGCCCCGGUAAACGGCGGCCGUAACUAUAACGGUCCUAAGGUAGCGAAAUUCCUUGUCGGGU